Molecule: ribosomal RNA, 241 nt
Filed under: uncultured bacterium
Lineage: Bacteria
Description: partial 16S ribosomal RNA
Rfam family: Bacterial small subunit ribosomal RNA
Source: RNAcentral
GGUGGAGCAAAACUACAAAAACUUAGUCUCAGUUCGGAUUGUAGGCUGAAACUCGCCUACAUGAAGCUGGAGUUGCUAGUAAUCGCGAAUCAGCAUGUCGCGGUGAAUACGUUCCCGGGCCUUGUACACACCGCCCGUCACACCAUGGGAGUUUGUAACACCCGAAGUCAGUAUCCUAACCGCAAGGGGGGAGCUGCCGAAGGUGGGAUAAGCGACUGGGGUGAAGUCGUAACAAGGUACC